UGGAUCGUGAUAUUAUUUGUAAUAAUCUAAAAUCUUACUUAAAAUAGCUAGUCAAAAGGUAUUAUUUAGAUUUAUUGAUUCGGUAAAAAUAUUUAAGAUUUUGUUCAGCGAAUAAUUGAUAUAGAAUUAAACAUACACACAUACGGAUUCUUAUAGCUACCGUAAGUCUAAGUCUCAUGAGCAUGUUAUAUAUGCAUGAUCUUUAUUUUUCUAUGAACAAAAGUAAGUAUCUCUUUUAAAUUUCUCAAAUGAUUCCUCCGCAUUUUAAUAGCCCUACAUCACAUCCAGCUUCCACGUGAUCUCACAGUGACAUAUAUCACUGCACUGUGGAGCAAAACAAUGACUGUAAAUUUAGAAGUCGAAGAGCCUACUCCAAAUUAGGAUGCAUACACAAGCAUUAAGUGCUCUAAAGAAAGUCAUUUAGAUCGCAAAACCACGUUCACUAUCCUUUGGCAUUAAAUAUGAUUGCCAUUGGCUUCCAUAUCAUAUCUUGCAUUAAAAACAAGCUUAGCUUCUGGUUCACCAUUUUAUCUCAAGCAUCAAAGAUCUUUACCCAACAUACUGCACCAAAACAAAUGCUCACCAAUUGCAAUAAAUUCCUACUUAUAAUAAAGGUACAAUUUUGUAGUCCACUAAACUACCACAUCCACCAUAAGGAACCCUCCUGACCAUGCUCUAAGCUCACUCUGCAUCACAGCUGAGUAAAUUAUGGCAGAAUUCAAAUUCAGUCAUGUCCUCCUUUGAUAUGUAUCUCUGAUAAUUAUUGAAACAAACAUAGGGAAAAGCUAUAUGAAUGAACAUGGUCUUCACAAUGAACAUGAAAGGUAAACAAAUUGGAAACAGGGGACAUCAAGGUGGCCAAACUCAUAGCCAGCUUGCCAAGGUAAAAGAAGUUUUGGGUGCUCUACAGUAGGAUCCCUUGUUCUUGGUAUGCUAAAUAUUAUGUCCAUGCGAUGACUAAGCAAAAACAUACCAUUUUUAGUAAUACAAAACUGUCCAAAUUCUGCAACGUAGAACAAAAUGCACGCAGGCGCUCAGAACAGUUGUUCUUGUGGUCAUUCUGCAAAACAUCAGUUGUAAAAUGUGAUUUUAUUUUCUUGAAUGAGACUCUAAAAUAAGAAUGGAAAUGAGUGACUCAUUCUAGUCCAAAUUUUACUAAGAGUUGGAUAACAAUGACCUUGACUCGAUCUUGCCCCCACGCUAAUCUUGGCCAGGCUUUUUCCCAUCUUAGUUCUCUCAUGCCACAAAGAAAUGUGACACCAAUAUCUACCUUUAACCAUCAUCAUCUCGGCAACUACAUACCUGCGUAUAUACCUAUUUUAGCCUGUUCAAAGUAAUUGAUAGAAGCAACACAACAGCAUCUUGUAGUGAUGAUAUUCUCAUAUCUUACUAUUCUAACUUUGCCCAAGUCACCACUGGCUUCCAAAUUUUGCUAACACGGUUGGGAUUUAAACAUCAACUAUAAAAUUAUCAACCAAUGCAGACAAAAGAAAGCAAGAAUUUGAGAUUGCCAAUUCUAAACCCCUUCCCAAGCCACGACACAGUUAAUAUUUCUUUACCAAUCCACAACUGUGAUGCCACAUGCUUCUAGACUGUGCCUCCUAAAUGUUUUUUCCUCCAACCUUCACUGAGUGAGAAGUAGGCAAAGUCACGCAACGCAAUCCAACGUCCUGGGCAAAAUUUUGCUGGAAAAAUGAUAAAUGAAAUUCUCAGACUAGGCAUGAUUAACUCAAAAAAAAUAAUCUAGCAUUUAUGAGACAAUCAUACAUUAUUUUUGGUAAUAGAACCUGCUCCCU
Molecule: long non-coding RNA, 1796 nt
Filed under: Phoenix dactylifera (date palm)
Lineage: Eukaryota; Viridiplantae; Streptophyta; Magnoliopsida; Arecales; Arecaceae
Description: long non-coding RNA (PDAC_LNC004700)
Source: RNAcentral